CCUACGGGUGGCAGCAGUGAGGACUAUUGGUCAAUGGACGAGAGUCUGAACCAGCCAAGUAGCGUGAAGGAUGACUGCCCUAUGGGUUGUAAACUUCUUUUAUAUGGGAAUAAAAUGUUCCCCGUGUGGGAUUUUGUAUGUACCAUAUGAAUAAGGAUCGGCUAACUCCGUGCCAGCAGCCGCGGUACUACGGAGGAUCCGAGCGUUAUCCGGAUUUAUUGGGUUUAAAGGGAGCGUAGGUGGAUUGUUAAGUCAGUUGUGAAAGUUUGCGGCUCAACCGUAAAAUUGCAGUUGAAACUGGCAGUCUUGAGUACGGUAGAGGUGGGCGGAAUUCGUGGUGUAGCGGUGAAAUGCUUAGAGAUCACGAAGAACUCCGAUUGCGAAGGCAGUUCACUGGACUGCAACUGACACGGAGGCUCGAAAGUGUGGGUAUCAAACAGGAUUAGAUACCCUUGUAGUC
Molecule: ribosomal RNA, 460 nt
Filed under: uncultured bacterium
Lineage: Bacteria
Description: partial 16S ribosomal RNA
Rfam family: Bacterial small subunit ribosomal RNA
Source: RNAcentral